CUUACGGGCGCUCAUCACUUCAUCUCUAUGAAGUUGACGUCCCGAAACUUUUUAUUCUGGCGCACCCAGCUUAUUCCGUUUCUUCGCGGACAGGACCUGCUCGGCUUUGUGGAUGGCACCUCACUGUGCCCGCGUCCCA
Molecule: long non-coding RNA, 139 nt
Organism: Ipomoea nil (Japanese morning glory)
Lineage: Eukaryota; Viridiplantae; Streptophyta; Magnoliopsida; Solanales; Convolvulaceae
Exons: 3
Source: RefSeq, a predicted model, not a curated record